RNAcentral lists this ribosomal RNA (274 nucleotides) under uncultured prokaryote. Its description in RNAcentral is "partial 16S ribosomal RNA". It matches the Rfam family "Bacterial small subunit ribosomal RNA", at positions 524 to 798 of the family's 1533-position model. The record is from RNAcentral.
UACGUAGGGGGCUAGCGUUAUCCGGAUUUACUGGGCGUAAAGGGUGCGUAGGUGGUUUCUUAAGUCAGAAGUGAAAGGCUACGGCUCAACCGUAGUAAGCUUUUGGAACUGUAAGACUUGAGUGCAGGAGAGGAGAGUGGAAUUCCUAGUGUAGCGGUGAAAUGCGUAGAUAUUAGGAGGAACACCAGUAGCGAAGGCGGCUCUCUGGACUGUAACUGACGCUGAGUCACGAAAGCAUGGGGAGCAAACAGGAUUAGAUACCCUGGUAGUCCCU